CAGGGUGUUAUAGCUGUUGAGAGGCACCCCGAUCGACGUCACGCGACCCUCGCAGACAGCCUGGUCUUCCUUCGGGACGAAGAGGUCGUGGGUUCAAAUCCCGCCACCCCGA
Molecule: transfer RNA, 112 nt
Filed under: Herbidospora solisilvae
Lineage: Bacteria; Bacillati; Actinomycetota; Actinomycetes; Streptosporangiales; Streptosporangiaceae
Description: Herbidospora sp. NEAU-GS84 tRNA-Leu
Source: RNAcentral